AGGUAGAGAAUACCAAGGCGCUUGAGAGAACUCGGGUGAAGGAACUAGGCAAAAUGGUGCCGUAACUUCGGGAGAAGGCACGCUGACACGUAGGUGAAGUGAUUUACUCACGGAGCUGAAGUCAGUCGAAGAUACCAGCUGGCUGCAACUGUUUAUUAAAAACACAGCACUGUGCAAACACGAAAGUGGACGUAUACGGUGUGACGCCUGCCCGGUGCCGGAAGGUUAAUUGAUGGGGUCAGCGCAAGCGAAGCUCCUGAUCGAAGCCCCGGUAAACGGCGGCCGUAACUAUAACGGUCCUAAGGUAGCGAAAUUCCUUGUCGGGUAAGUUCCGACCUGCACGAAUGGCGUAAUGAUGGCCAGGCUGUCUCCACCCGAGACUCAGUGAAAUUGAACUCGCUGUGAAGAUGCAGUGUACCCGCGGCAAGACGGAAAGACCCCGUGAACCUUUACUAUAGCUUGACACUGAACAUUGAGCCUUGAUGUGUAGGAUAGGUGGGAGGCUUUGAAGUGUGGACGCCAGUCUGCAUGGAGCCGACCUUGAAAUACCACCCUUUAAUGUUUGAUGUUCUAACGUGGACCCGUUACCCGGGUUGCGGACAGUGUCUGGUGGGUAGUUUGACUGGGGCGGUCUCCUCCUAAAGAGUAACGGAGGAGCACGAAGGUUGGCUAAUCCUGGUCGGACAUCAGGAGGUUAGUGCAAUGGCAUAAGCCAGCUUGACUGCGAGCGUGACGGCGCGAGCAGGUGCGAAAGCAGGUCAUAGUGAUCCGGUGGUUCUGAAUGGAAGGGCCAUCGCUCAACGGAUAAAAGGUACUCCGGGGAUAACAGGCUGAUACCGCCCAAGAGUUCAUAUCGACGGCGGUGUUUGGCACCUCGAUGUCGGCUCAUCACAUCCUGGGGCUGAAGUAGGUCCCAAGGGUAUGGCUGUUCGCCAUUUAAAGUGGUACGCGAGCUGGGUUUAGAACGUCGUGAGACAGUUCGGUCCCUAUCUGCCGUGGGCGCUGGAGAACUGAGGGGGGCUGCUCCUAGUACGAGAGGACCGGAGUGGACGCAUCACUGGUGUUCGGGUUGUCAUGCCAAUGGCACUGCCCGGUAGCUAAAUGCGGAAGAGAUAAGUGCUGAAAGCAUCUAAGCACGAAACUUGCCCCGAGAUGAGUUCUCCCUGAGACUUUAGGUCUCCUGAAGGAACGUUGAAGACGACGACGUUGAUAGGCCGGGUGUGUAAGCGCAGCGAUGCGUUGAGCUAACCGGUACUAAUGAACCGUGAGGCUUAACCUUACAACGCCG
Molecule: ribosomal RNA, 1288 nt
Filed under: Salmonella enterica subsp. enterica serovar Berta
Lineage: Bacteria; Pseudomonadati; Pseudomonadota; Gammaproteobacteria; Enterobacterales; Enterobacteriaceae
Description: partial 23S ribosomal RNA
Rfam family: Bacterial large subunit ribosomal RNA
Source: RNAcentral